This 13728-nucleotide long non-coding RNA is filed under the name Mytilus galloprovincialis (Mediterranean mussel). The record is from RNAcentral. Lineage: Eukaryota; Metazoa; Mollusca; Bivalvia; Mytilida; Mytilidae.
GUUCGUUCAAUUAAAUUUAUAUAUAUUUUAAUUGUCUUCCGGAAACUUGUAAUAACAUUGAUGUUAAAAAAUAUAUUUAUAUCAAAAUAUCAACAUGACAGCGUAUGGUCGAGGUUCCUUUGGUGGAGUAGGAUUUACCCCCAACCAAACUGUUAUUAAGGAAGGUAAGGUAUAAAAAUAUCAACAUGACAGCGUAUGGUCGAAGACUUUGGUGGAGUAGGAUUUACCCAACCAAUCUGUUAUUAAGGAAGCUGUUAUUAAGGAAGGUAAGGUAUAAAAAAUAUCAACAUGACAGCGUAUGGUCGAAGUUCCUUUGGUGGAGUAGGAUUUACCCCCAACCAAUCUGUUAUUAAGGAAGGUAAGGUAUAAAAUAUAUCAACAUGACAGCGUAUGGUCGAGGUUCCUUGGGUGGAGUAGGAUUUACCCCCGACCAGUCUGUUAUUAAGGAAGGUAAGGUAUAAAAAAUAUCAACAUGACAGCGUAUGGUCGAGGUUCCUUUAGUGGAGUAGGAUUUACCCCCCGACCAAACUGUUAUUAAGGAAGGUAAGGUAUAAAAAAAUGAAAGAUUGUCCCUUUUAAUGUUCUGUUUGUGAACAUAAAUUUGUCUUAACAUUUCAUAACACCUUAUUCCUCUCAUGAGUUCUUUGUUUACCGUAAUAUUAUAAUGCAGAGAGCUAGUAUGUCUGUGCACCCAUGGAUAUGAACAUGGUUUUUUUAGAGAGAAUGCUACGCUCCAUCGUAUGUUAUAAACAAGAAUGUGUCCAUAGUACACGGAUGCCCCAUCCGCACUAUCAUUAUCACGUUCAGUGGACCGUGAAAAUGGGGUAAAAUCUCUAAUUUGGCCUAAAAAUUAGAAAGAUCAUAUCAUACGGAACAUAUGUACUAAGUUUCAAUGUGAUUGGACUUCAACUUCAUCUAAACUACCUCGACAUAAAAAUUUAACCUGAAGCGGGACAGACGGACAGACGAACAGACGAACGAACGAACGAACGAACGAACGAAUGGACGGACGCACAGACCAGAAAACAUAAUGCCCAUAAAUGGGGCAUAAAAAUCUUUCGCAGAUUCGAAAAAAACGCUAUAGAAGGUUAACAUUCCCCUUACCACUAGUCACUCCUUAUUUCCCGUUGUAUUUAAAGUUUAUGUAUGCCCAUUAUUAAUUUUAAAAACAAAAAGACCUCUUCUUACAAACAAACAAAAUGACUUCUACACAGGCAUGAAAAGGACUUGAGCAUCAAACCAUCUCACAUCAGCGUGACUAUCGCGGUUUAGAGUCCUACACAUGAAUCGCUUUAACAUUCGAAACAAGUGUUAUAAAAUGUUAUUGCUCUCUGGUCAGAAUUCAUUUCUUUAUAUAAAAAAAAAGAAUAUGAAUAAGACUGUUGUUAAUUUUAAAAAUCAAAAGGAGUAUUACUAAAGAAAAAAAAUAUAAAUGACAAAAGAUAGACAGAAAACAAUACUAUCACGUAGCAUUGAAAAAAAAUGUUAAUAUUUAUUACAAUACUAUUUUUUACAUCAGACUAUAUAGAUCUAUAUAAGCUUAAAGCUUUCAUCCUUAAUUUUUCGAAAAUAAUGCAAUUUAGAAUGAUUAAGUAAAGGAAGAUGACAUAUGCAUGUGUGAGUUUAUUACUGUCACUUUAGAGAACACUUUAAAUUCAUUUAAAUCCUUUUUUCUUUCUUUUUUUACAAGUUUAACUGUAUUUGAGAUAAUGGUUUGAAGCCUUCUAUCACCGAAAAGAAAGUAUCUAAAUCUAAAGUUGUCUUUGACGAAAGAAGUUUUGGUACAAAACAUCGGCAAAAUUUUGCAUUGUCUGAAGUUGCAAAUUUAUACCUAGUCUGCACUACAAGCAUUAUCAAAUUGAUACAUUGUCAUUAACUUAAUACUGAUUUAUUGGCCCCUAACCAUACAAUUGCCUUAUUAAAAAAAAACGUAUUAACACUGAAAACUUUACAUGAUGGAUUUUUAUAUUCUAUACAACCUUUCAAACGUUUUGGUUAAAUUUGAUGGUAUGUAUUUCCACUCUUCGCAUCUGUUAUUUCCACUCUACACAUCUGUUAUUUCCACUCUACACAUCUGUUAUCGUAUGUAUUUCCACUCUACACAUCUGUUAUCGUAUGUAUUUCCACCCUACACAUCUGUUAUUUCCCCUCUACACAUCGGUUAUCGUACGUAUUUCCACUCUACACAUCUGUUAUGGUUCGUAUUUCCACUCUACACAUCUGUUAUUCACUCUACACAUCUGUUAUUUCCACUCUACACAUCUGUGUACGUAUUUCCACUCUACACAUCUGUUAUUUCCACCCUACACAUCUGUUAUCAAGCUUUUCUUGUAGAGAUUAUUAAAAAAAAAAAACACUUGGAAAAAGUCAAAAGAUACCAAGGAGUUAAAAUGCCUCAUUUUCUGUUAUUUCAUAGGUACCGAUGAAGAAUCUGAGUUUGACACAUUAUCAAAAACGAUUGCACAUAGUAUACAGAAAAUUACACACAAUGGUAAGUACAGGUAACAUUGUUAAUAAGAUUAUUAUAUAAAUAGGAAUAGAGACAGAGUUCAAGUUAUUCGAAAUAAAUCAUAAAAACAAGGCAAAGAGUGGUAACCAAAAACAAAAAAAGCACUUUUUUGUAUGGAAAACUCAUGUUGUAGAUGCGGAUAACAAUAAAAGCGAGAAAUUAUAUUGUAAUUGUAUAAUAUUGCAACUUAAAACAAAUCAAAAGGACAUCACUGUCAUUUGAAAAAGCCAUGUGUUUAAACGGGUUUCAUGAGUCUUAAACCAUUCACCUAAAUGUACGACAAGUUCAUGAACUCAUUAGAUAAAACAAUUACUGUCUUUUGUUUCGGUAAAUAUGGGGUUUUAUUGACUUUUGAAAAACUAAUAUUCACUUCGGCCGUCGUGAAUAUUAGAACUAAGGGUAAUGCAAUGUAUCUAAUUUCAAAAUAACAAAACAUAACUCUAAUUAUUCCAUAUUGGUAUUAUUUUAGUAGGUUUUUCUAUAUCGAUAUAUGAAUUGGAUUAUAAUAUUGCAACUUAAAACAAAUCAAAAGGACAUCACUAUCAUUUGGAAAAGCCAUGUAUUUAAACGGGUUUCAUGAGUCUUAAACCAUUCACCUAAUUGUACGACAAGUUCAUGAACUCAUUAGAUAAAACUAUAAUUCAUACAAACUUCAAAACAAGAAUAAUAGCUCGACUCUGCUCGUAAACUUCAACACACAGCGAAAAAGAACAAACAUCAAAUAAGAAUAAAGAUAUUUAUUAUUCCUGUUAAUGAUGGACAUUACAACAUAUGACUACAUGUAGGAUAAUAGCAAAACAUAAAGCAUAUAGUCUUUGAAGUAAGACACUCAGAAAAUAUAAUCCACAAAAAGUAUUCUUCCUUGAUGAGUUGAACGAAUGAGAUAAUUCUGUACAUACUACCUAGCAAGAGUAUCAUAAUUCUAGUAAAAUUGUAUAAGGCUUUUAUAUACAUCUAAUAAAUAUUCAAGUUGUAAAUACAUUUAGUAUCUCAGAUCCAGAAGUUAAUCAGUCGUAUUGGAACCAAGAAGGAUUCACAGGAGACCAGAGAUAAGGUGUAAGUAUUUAUAAAAAGUAAAAUAACAAAAAUACUGUACUCCGAGGAAAAUUUAAAACGGAAAGUAACUAAUCAAAUGGCAAAAUCAAAUGAUAAAACACAUCAAACGAAUGGACAACAACUGUCAUAUUCGUGACUUGGUACAGGCAUUCUUAAAUGUAGAAAAUGGUGUAUUGAACCUGGUUUUAUAGUUUUAUAGUUAAAUCUCAUGUUAUUUCAAGUUUGUUUUAUAUCAAUACAGACAGGAAAAGGAAGUAUAUAAAACAUGUUACAAACAUCCAGAAUGGUUUAUGCAGGAAAUAAAUGUUAUUGAAAGGAAGGGGACCAGUGGGUUUAAUUAAUUAUCGACAAGAACAUAAUGAAGUUAAAAGAGAAUAACAGCGAGAACUAAAUAACAACUAAUAGUUUAAGAUAUUUAAUAAUUAAAGAACAAUAACGGGUUUUUCAAUUUAAAAAAAUAUAUAAAAAUAAAAAAUAAAUAGGCAACUCAGUUGAGAAUACAACUUGUAAUAAAAGAAAACAACAAAUGUACAAACUAGAUAGGAUAUGUCACUUCCUACAAUAAUAUGAAUAAAGCGAUACUUUACAUAGUAUACGUUUAAGAAAAGGAAAGUGACCAGGGGCCUGUUUAUCGAAACUGUCCUAAGUUCUGUCCUAAGAAUUUCUUAGGACAGAAUUUAGGAUAAAGUUAGGACAACGUACGACACGUCUCAGCAUGCACAUCGAAGCUAUCUUAGGAAUAUCUUAGCUAGGACCUCCUAACCGAUGUCCUAAGUGUUGGCGGAAAAGAAAAUACAAAUUAGAUAUGAAAAAUUACAAUAUGAUAUCAUAUUUUAUCAAUAAUUUUGUUUUUUCAAAUAUAGUUAAUUAGAAACUAAUUAUUGGUGUUACAAUAAAGAUAAUAAAUGAUUAUUGUAUAAUAUUUGUACAUUUAAACUGUAAAAAACAAAACAUAAGACAAAAAUAAUAACUACGUAUUAUAUAAGAAUUUAACAAACUAAUUGUAAACUAGGUAUAUAAUCGGUAAAAAUCAUUACAUGUUUUUGAGCGAGUUGAAUUCGAAAUGUCAAGGUUUCAAUAUUUAACAGUCCAAAGACAAAUCUCGUGCAUUUUUCAUAUAAAUCUGGAGUAUUUCAACUAUUUUACUACUAGUAAAAACAACAAUACGUGUGAACAUGAUCAAAAGGCGAAAUUGAAUAUAUCCUAAAGUUAGGACCAUCCUAAGACCAUCUUAAGACACCUAAAUUGAUAUCCUAAAGUUAGGACAAUUCUUAGGAUUUUCCCUAAGUUGAGACAUGUUUGAUCAACCCACGUAGGACUAAGAUGUGUCCUAAGUUGGUCUUAGGACACGUCCUAAUCCUAAGAGAGCUUCGAUAAACAGGCCCCUGGUGUUUUAUUUGAAUUUUUCCUGUUUAUAAAUAACGUUGACAUUUAUCACACUCAUUAUUUUUCUUACGUUUAUAAAUGUGACUUACGCUUUUAGGCAUCAGUUAACUCACUAUACCAAUCAGCUGGCAAAAGAAACUACUGCAAAUCUAAAAACAUUUUCUCGGUUAAAGGUACACCCUUCAGACGAGGUAAAUAUAAAGUUUUUAACAAAAAUGUUAUCCCUUUGAACAGCUUUGUGCAGAUCUACCCUAAAACAGAUUAUAACAGUUACACAUCAGUACGGGGAAGGACGUUUUAGGGGAGAAUAUGAUAUUCUGAAAGUUCCACUCUAGAACAUUAAUGAACUGUUUAUUCCCUAGAACAAUUUACAAUGGUCGAUCUGUCCAAGGAUCAAAUAGUGUAGAUCAUCAAGAUGUUCUAAUAUACAUAUUUCUAUAACACUGAAUACUCUUCUUUCUGCAGUAAAAGGUGAUCUUCAAAAAUAUUGUGUUGAGAUAUAUUUAACCAGUGUUAUCAAUCAGAUGUGGAUUCUUCAAAAGUCUACUGCUAAAUCUUACACCUUAAUCUUUGCAAUUUUGCAGCAUCAUUACGUUUAAGACCUUUCAAUUUUUUACACUUAACACUACUAUUCCCAGUGUUUAAUUGAAAGAUCGACUUCACCAUAUAAUUAAACAAAACUUAUUCUAUGAAAAUGGGAGCCGUAGAUAUGAUUUUCUUGUUUUGGGUUAUAAUAAUUCUUAUUUUGCACCCCUUCUUGUCAAUUUGUGUUUGUAAAAUGAAGCAGAUUUUUUUCAUAACCUUUUUAAAGACAAAAAGUAAAAGCUCCUUACGAUUUUUUUCUUCUCUCAUAUAUACUGAUGAUGUCCUAUCACUCAAUAACCCAUAUUUCAGUAUUUAAUAUUCUUGUCAUGGGUAGAACAUACAUAAACUAAACUAACACCAUUUUCAACUCAAUCACAGUUUAAUAUUCUUGAACGUGUCAAUAAAACAAUUCUUUUUUAUUUAUUGAAAUUUAUCUGUGAUAAUUUUAACGUCACAAAAACUGCGUCACUUUUUGUGGCGUUGAUACAUUCAUGUGACUCACAGAUCAUACUUUGUUUGGGUGUCCUUGUGCGAUGUCAUAAAUUUAUUGGAGGUGUCUAUUGUUUAUAUUCUGUGGUUUACAUAUUGUAAUGUACUAUAAAAUUAUUCAUUGAUGUAUUUCUCUGUCCUGAGUAUUCUUGCGUUUAUUUGUACUAUAUUCCUGUAACGUAUUGUCAUUUUAGGUAUAUUUUUACAUUCCUUUAUAAGCGGGUGGUUUGGCUAGCUAUUAAUCCAGGUUCAACCCAUCAUUUUGUCUUCAAAUGUCAUCUACUAAGACAAUGGUAUGGCAGUUGUUAUCAUAUAGCUCGUUUCUAUGUAUUUUUGCGUCAGUUUUUGUUGCAGUUUAUUUUUUCUUUGGUUCCAUUAUUUUCUUCUUAUAGUUCCUGUGUUCCCUUCGAUUUUAGUUUGUAAUCAAGAUUCGCUUAAUCGAUAUAUGACCAUUGAAGACCGUUUUACUACUGUUGCUUUUACUUAGAAUAGUUCUAUGACAUUAUUUUCAUUAAGUUCUGAAGAGAGUUUAGAACUGAUAUCGAAUGAAAGGUAGUUACAUUCGUUUGAAAUGCAUUCGUCCCUGUCUUUUAUUUGUUACAUUCCUAAUUACAGUUAAAACAAAACAAUACUUGGUUUCGAAGGUCACAGUUCAAAAGAUUAAUAACAAAUCAAAUUUAUGAACAUGAAUACAUAACGCGUGCGCAUCUGCAUUCAUAACACAACCGGAAAAUAGAUUUGUUUUAAAUACGGCGAGCUCUGUUGUUAUGCUGCUGUAACUCUCUCAUUUUGAAGUCUAACAUAAAUUGAUUGGCAAAUACAAAUUAACCUUCCUUGUUUUCAGUUAAAACUUAAAAUUCAAAGUGAUAGGUAUGCAGAAAAAUUCAGUAAUGCAGUUAAAAGUUUCCAAGCUUCACAGAGAACUGCUGCACGAAAGGAACGAGCGAGUAUAGCAAGAGCAAGAGCACAUUCGCCAUCAUUUAAGGUGUUAAUACAGGUCAGUAAUCGUUUACUCGUAUAAAUUGUUUUACAUUGUGACAUGCUGCAUACAUAAACGUCAUUUUGGUCUCUGAUGGACGGUUUACUCAUUUGGCAAUGCUAACACAUCUGUCUUUUUGUUUUAUUAGAAGAUCUAUUAAAAUGUGAUAUCUAUAUACAGAUAUGUAGCGUACUGUAUGCUUUAUUUCUCACAUCAGGCAAGUUAAUAAUUAGAAAAAACCUUCACGUAAAAUUGUGUGAUUAACAUCCGAUAAUGUCAGGUAUUUUAAACUAACAGCAAUUUUCCUUUGUUGUAGUGCUGUUUUAAAAUUCUUUGUUGUCAAUAAUCUAUCAACUCCUCAAAAAUUAAAUACAGUGCAUCAUCUCUGAAUCGGAACUAGACAUUUCACGUAAGAAUUUUUUGAUUUAUGUGAGAAUGUGAAUAAUUUGAAUUUAAAAAAAAGCAAAAUCAGUGCCCCUUGAGAUGCAAGCGAAAUGUUGCUUAUAUAUAUAUAAGCUGUAAAAUGUUUUAUUCCUCUUUCUCCUUUGUAAAUGUGCAAAUACCAUCUAUCUUUGUUCUUUAAAAUUUUGAAUUCCAUAAAGGAUAAACGCAUAUAAACAAUUAUUACAGCCUGUUUAGCAUUGGUAUGUUAUGAGGUUAUAUUAGUUAAGGGUACUCUAUGUUCAUAUUGUGUUCACAGUAUAUUACAUAUCUGAGAAAUAAUUGAAGUACAGUCCAAUGAGACUUUUUAUGUUAAAUACCAGGUAAUCCUUAUUCCAUUUCUUGCUUUGUAUUUUCUAAUCACUUAUAAUUUAUCUCUUUAAUUCCAGUCUCCUUUUGAAGAUGUACCUAAAGAAAAAGUCCCGUCUGUUAAACGACAAAGGUAAGUUGUUUUAACCGGUGUUUUUUUAACUCGUGUUAACAGUAGAUCUUUAAAAACUGUUUUCAUGGAAAUAAGUAUACCAUAUUUUUAAAUAAGCGCUAUCACGGUAGGUAUAGUGUCCGGCUAGUAUCGUGGUUUUUCGAGUGAUUUUGUCCAUUUUAUUCGAGUCUAGUUCGGGCCUUUUUCGAGUGUUAAAACAUGCGAUAAGUUCAAUUAACGGAUAUUUCGGAAUUAUAACAGUUUUUAACAUUACUUCCCAUCUUAUAUUGAAUACUAUAUAUGUUUUGAUCAACAAAGAAGCUCAAUUUCCCUGUAUUUAAUGAAAAAAAAUCUGUGUUUGUUAUUGUCCGAUUUUUUUCGAGAGCAAACAGAAAAUUUGAAGGUAUUCGAGACUUUAAAAAAUGACUUUUUCUAGUUUAUCACUGUAAUUAAGUGAAGGACAAUACCAUAUAUUCCCAAUAAGUCAUCAAAAACAUAUCAAAAUGAUUUUUUUUCUUCAAUUUAAUGCAAAUAUUCUGUUUGGAGACGUUAUACAACUACUUUCGAGUGCUCAUUUAGAAAUAACUUGAUCCUUAACAAAACGGUGUCUAGAACAGUAUGCAGGGAACUCAUAUUCAUUUCAACUUCAUUUCAUGCCACUUUUGAUUUUACAUGCAGUUUAUAAUAAUAACUCCGGAGAUUAAUAAAAGAAAUCUAUUAAUUAAAAAAACCAUAAAAAAACACACACACUUUAUCCACCCCAUUUUUAUUGCCAUUUAACACAAAAUUAGAAUAAAAUUUCAGAUAAAAUCAACAAUGAAAUGAAUAGUUCAUUAGCCUAAAUAUGAUCCUUUAGCAAUGAUAGACAAAUACAAAGGUGUAUAUUAUUUGCUAUCCCCAGCUAGAUUGUCCAGUGUUUCGGACGACACCAGGAACAACAUUGUAAUGUCUUGAUUAAUAUUCAUAUUUUCCACUUUUGAGACACUUUUCUUUUAUUAAAAGGAAGUUAUCAUAGUGUUUAGUUGCUGUAUGACCAAUUAUUAUAUUUGCAGAAUUAGACUCCUCACAGUUGUAGCAUUAAGAUAAUGAAAAAUCUAAGAUGUAUGUUCUUUUAAGAACAAACAUAUAUCUCAUCUUAUACAAUAUAUCUAUGUACGUCUCAAUUCGAAUUGUCUAUGCGUAUGUUCCGGACCAUACGCGUAUGGUCACGACCAUAUGCGUAUACUCAUAUGGUCAAACUGUACGCGUAUGGUUGGACCAUAUAUGAUAUAUAUAGGAAGAUGUAUGAAUGCCAAUGAAACAACUCUCUCCUUCAAAUAACAAUUUAUAAAAGUAAACCAUUAUAGGUCAAGGUACGGCCUUCAACACGGGGCCUUGGCUCAAACCGAACAACAAGCUAUAGAGGGCCCUCAAAAUAACUAGUUCAAAACCAUUCAAACGGGAAAACUAACAGUUUGAGGGUGGGUUGGGGUAGAAAAAAGGAAAAUAUUAAACGAAAGAUACAUUAUGUUACUUGGCGAAAAAAGUAAUAAGUGGCAAAAUAUAUAUUUGUUUUGCGAAAUAGGUGGCGAAAAAAUAAUUGCCCAAGGGGAAACCCAAUUUGGGAUCAUAUAAGUAUACAUUAGAAACGAUUCAAUAACACAAUAAACUUAUCUAUACCAAUGACGGUUACAUGAAAUGUAUCAACUUUAUAGUUCAAUGGCUUCCCAAAACAGCACAAGUUACAAGUUGAAACCCAUUGUCUUUCAAUUAAUUGUCUUAAGUUGUGUGUAUCUGUUUUCUGUCCAUCUCUAGUGUCAAUUGUAAGACUCUUCAUCAUAUCGAUUUUUUUGUCAGUUAGUAAACUAGUUGAACUCUUGUUAAACAGUUCAUUCAGACAUUUUUUGAAGUUAUCUUCCAAGUCGACAUUUUGUUGUUCAGUAAUAGUUAUCCCAUGAGGUCCAAUUACUUAUAUGGUGCCGAACACUCACAUUAGAUUGUUGACAUCACGGAUAUAUACUGUACAUGCAAUUUAUAAGAUGUGAGAAAAAGAAUAUAUACAAAUGAACGAUACUUGUUUCAUGAUAAAAGUGUUGAUACACCAUGUGCCUUGAAAGUAUUCAAUUUGAUCCUUUAUUUUAUAGUUUUUAAACGUAAACACAUAACGAAAUGUGUAUAUCACUCGCUAAAAAAAGGACACACUCGAAAAAGCCCGGACAUGAAAAACUGAAUUUAGUCACAAAAAGUCGUUUUCAAUGCAAUAACAAUAGUUUUUGCAAAGUGUCUGUAUAUCUAAGUAUAUCCGUCGACAUUUGUAUUGGUAUGUGUAAGAAAAUGACUUUAUUAUUUUGGAAUAAAAGCAUUUUAAGGCUAAAUUUAACUUUUUUUUAACGAAAAGCAAUGUCGGAAUGAUACUAUCUUUAUAUCUAAAAUACUAGCAUAUCAUGUAUAACCUUGUAUAUCAAACUCAAGCUUCUAUAUCACGCUUUGUUAGAAAAGAAGUCUGUUUGUUUACAUUUUUGAUCAUAUUCACUCGAAAAAAAAGUAGUCGCACUCGAAAAAGCCCGAUCAAAUCACUCGAAAAACCACGAUCCUAGCCGGACACCAUAUCUACCGUGGCUAUUAUGAAGAUUUUGUUGAAAUCAAAUAGAAAACUUCACGUUGUAAUUAAAAGCAAUGCAUAUAUCAAAUGUAGAUCAAUUUUCGAAGCAAAAAGUUAAAGAUAUGCUUUGAUUUUCUACUCAGGCUGUCAAAGAUGGAACAAAAUGUUGAUUUGGAAACUAUUCUCGAAAGAGAGAAUGCAAUAAAAGAAUUAGAGGUUUGUAUUAACUUUAUAAAUGAGAUAAAUCCUUACUAUUUGAUAUCAUUAAUAUCAAUAAAAAAAAAUGUUCUCGUUAAAAAGACAUAGCGGUACAUACCCUUUAAUUUUGACUUGAAGGGGUAUUUGUGAUUUCUAUGCUGUUCGUUAAAGCAAUAUCAGUCUAGGUUUAAGAAAAAAUUGACUUGAUACGGAUUUGAGAAUUCUUUUCAAGUCUUUUUGGUCUUGUAUGUCCCCAAGUAACUGAGUAUCCCGGCUUUCAAAUGUUUUGGUUUGAGCGUUUCAAAAGAUGGUCAAUCUAGAAAAGAGCCUCCGACACACUAUCAAAAUGCUGCCACAUACCAGAGUCAGGAAUAUGACAGUUGGUAUCCAUUCGUUUGAUGUGUUUGAGCUUUUGAUUUUGCCAUUUUUUUACGGACUUUCCGUUAUGAAUUUUCCUAGGAGGUCAGUAUUUUUGUGAUUUUUAUAUUUGAUUAGAUAUAAUUAAAAGAUGAACCACAAAAAACAAAUAUCAUUUAGAUAAUUAAGAUAAUUGUAGUUCCUAAUUUUUGAUAAACAAAUGAAUGACUCUAACGUUUCUACUCAGUAUUUUGUUUUCUUUUUUAAAACUGUCCUGUACCAAGUCAGGUAUAUGGCCAUUGUUAUAUUAUAGUUCGUCUCAAUUUAACGUUGCGUCGUUUGUUUUCUCUUAUUUUUGAGUGUAAAUUGACAUUGCGAUAAGACGUGUCACGCUACUUGUCUAUCCCAAAUUCUUGUAUUUGGUUUUGAUGUUAUAUUUGUUAUUCUCGUGGGAUUUUGUCUGAUGCUUGGUCCGUUUCUGUGUGUGUUACAUUGUAGUGUUGUGUCGUUGUUCUCUUAUAUUUAUGCGUUUCCCUCAGUUUUAGUUUGUUACCCCGAUUUUGUUUUUUGUCCAUGGAUUUAUGAGUUUGAACAGCGGUAUACUACUGUUGCCUUUAUUUACAAGUACAUUUAUCACGUUACUAAUUCCAGCAUGACAUCACAGAAAUAAAUGAGAUCUUCAAGGAACUUGGUGCGAUGGUACAUGAACAAGGGGAAGUUAUAAGUAAGUUUAAGACUUUUAUUCGGAUGGAAAACUAUUGUUUAGUCAAUUACGUAAUUGUUUUCUGUAAUGCUGUUUAUUAACGAAUCAGUGCUGUCAAAAAAGAACCGUAACCGAACUUUUACAUUUAAUAUAGCAUUUCAAGAUAAGAUAAAUCUUUUUUUUUAAAUAUUUCUUAAGAAAAGAUUUUUUAAGAUGUUAUUUUUCUAUAUUCAAAUUAUCUCCCCAUCAGAUACGAUAGAUGACAAUGUAGACACAGCAGUUAUACAUAUACAAGAAGCAAAACAAGACCUAGCAACAGCUGUGUCCAUCCAGGUAUGUCUCUGUAAAGUUAUCUUAUACGGGCGUGCUAUGAAUUCAAUAUACAUCUGCUUAUUAAUAUGUUUUAUAAUUGAUUCUAAAUUAAUUCAAUUGUGUACAAUUUACCAAAUUGUAAAGAACAAUAUAUUUUAAAAAUCCUUCCAAGAUUUAAAAAAAAUUAAGAUUGAUUUUCUCUAGUACAUCAUUAUAUGUUAUGUGUUUUAGUUAUUAUGUAAUUUUAAAAUUCCCUGUAUAUGAUUGAAAACACAAUCGUUUGUAGUUUUGUUUCGGAGUGUUUAUACUGUAUGUCACGGUCUUAAUCGUUUUCCUUCUUAGUUCUUUUUUUGUUCAUUUAAUGAGUUCUUUUAUCUAUUUCAGGAAAAAGUGAGAAGUAAAAAAUGCCUAUGUUUGGUUGUUCUGAUUGUUGGAGUAGUGGUUAUUAUUGCAAUACUAUUACCAGUACUUCUAUCUAUAAACAAUUGAUAAGGUAGGCUUGCAAUACUAUUACCGGUACUUCUAUCUAUAAACAAUUGAUAAGGUAGGCUUGCAUAUCUAUAAACAAUUGAUAAGGUAGGCUUGUAAUACUAUUACCGGUACUUCUUUCUAUAAACAAUUGAUAAGGUAGGCUUACAAUAUUAUGACCGGUACUUCUAUCUAUAAACAAUUGAUAAGGUAGGCUCGCAACACCUUCUACUUACUAUCAAAUUUUGAGAACACAGAUUUUGAUUAAGGAUUUUUUUUAAAUAGGAUGCAUCAUUCAUAUCGUUUAUAAUUGAAUUUUUCAAUCCCACAUGCAUUACACCAGGGUUUCCUCUCUUUUGGAAUACACGUCAAACUCAGACUUUAUCACGUAUGACAACAAUAUGUACACGUCAAGCCUAACACUAAAAUGAUAGGUUAAUCAAUGAUGCUUAUUUAAAAGAUGGACUCCAAAGUCAAAUAACACAAAUCAAAGAAAAGAGACCAUCAGAAGACAGAGACGUAUACAGUUGGUGGUUUUCUCAGGAAACACAUCAAUGCCCUGCUUCAUAUUGAAUACAAGCUACACAAUAAGACACAUUGAGAUUUUAAAAUAAUUUGACUGCAAAAUUUCUUGGUAGUGAUUUUUUGUUUAUGAAACGGCGAGUUAUGGUGGCUGGAGAUUAUGUAAACAUACUUUAUUUUUGUUUGAUACAAUGGUAAUGUAUUAUUCGAAAUAUUAAGGAUUUUUUUAUCCCAGGCAUAGAUUACCUCAGCCGUAUUGGGCACAACUGGAAUUUUUAGUUCUCAAUGCUCUUCAACUCUAUACUUGUUUGACUUUCAAACUAUUUUGAUUUGAGCGUCACUGAUGAGUCUUCUGUAGACGAAACGGGCGUCUGACGUAUUAAUUUAUAAGUCUGGUACCUUUGAUAACUAUUGAACUUCCCAAACUAUUUGUAACGAUUAAAAACUGGAUUUUUUUUGUAGAGGGAAAUUACAGAGUCAUGCAUGUGGUAUAGCAACACUUCUCCAUUGGUCACAAUAAGCUGGAAUUUUUUAAGAAAACCCUGGCAGACUAUGUCCUUUAUAUACAGCAGUACAGAAACAACUGAAUAGACAUUAUGAUUAACUAAACAUUCAACUUAAUAAAACGUGUCUCUCUUUCAUACCAAUUAUAUAUAGCUGUUUGAAACAAUGAUGAAGAUUCUCUUUUGUUUCAAAUAUAAUAAAUUACAUCAUGUAUAGC